CGAAGAGACCAUUACACACCACGUCCAUUAUGGCAGCUUCAAAAGAACAGGACAGCUGAACUGUGACGUGAUCUGAGGAAGCCGCCCAGGUGAAAUGCGUCAUCAUGUUUGUGUGUACAACGCCAUCACGCCAUCACGCCAUCACGUGGUUGUACGAAGAACUCCCUGCAGUGCUGACAACUUUGCAAGACCGCUAGUGCUAGUCGCAGUUUUGAAAGACUGUACUACUAAGGGGUAUGA
Molecule: non-coding RNA, 240 nt
Organism: Pelobates cultripes (western spadefoot toad)
Lineage: Eukaryota; Metazoa; Chordata; Amphibia; Anura; Pelobatidae
Source: the annotation of a GenBank genome assembly